AUUCUUGUCCUUUGAAUGGUUGCACGUGUUGGAUUUGUGAGAUUUUUACUUUGGCAGUUUGAGAAUAAAAAUUGUGUUGCCCAGUCUUGACCAGCAGGAUACAUGAACCAGAACUGGUUUUGCUACCAUGGUGGCUCAGUGCAUGUACUCUUGUGGUACAAAUACGUGUUCAGAUUCACAUUUAUUUUCUGAAAGGCUUUAUGCACUUACAUUUAGUUUUCAUUUCCCGUGAAUGUUUGUUCUGUUAGAAUGUUAUGUUUAAGUCAAAGAAUGUGCAGGGUGGUACGGGUUGGCCCAAAGUGUAGUCACUGCAAAUCAAAUAUGGAAAUGAAAAGGAUUGCUAAUCCCACAGUUCCAUGGACCAUAUUCCUUGUACCGGGUGAGAGACAUUUGCCUGUCUUGCACCUGCUCUGUGGAUGUCAGUAUCUUUGCCUGUCCAUCUGACGAUUUUUACCAAUGUAGUACUCCUAGAAAACACGAAAACCUGAGCUUUGAGAAAACUAUUUCAAUUUAUACCAUCCAGAAUCCCAGGUUAGUAUUAACGCUCUUUGUGGGUAUGCACUGUAAUAAAACCAGGAGUCCCGGAUGAGAUCAGGCCUCCGUCACUGUUGCAGGUGUUUUACAUACUGUAAAAUAGAAUUGCCAUCUUGGGAAGCUUACAGUUAAAUGGGCAAGUCGAGCGAAAGGUGAGAGGAACAAAAUACAAUUCCCACCACAGUGACUGCAGGCUAAGGCGCAGAAAGGUUUCGUGACUUGAUCAGGGUAAUCCAGGGAAAGGAAAGAGCAGUUUUCAGAAGCAACUAACUCCCACUAAAGCAAGCAUGGGAGUGAUGUGCCAACCUGCCAUUUGUGCCUUUGAAUAUUUCCCCAGGGAGUCCAUUGUAGAGCGAAGCACUGAACUCUGAUCUUCAGUCCCCCACCAGACAACCCCUCUUUUCUGCUUUAAAUGUUUUUAAUUGAAAAAUACCAUCUGAACAGUGUCUGUAAAGAAUUACUUUUCCUCAGAACCUCCAAAAGAAAAGGAAACUGAUGUGCUGUGGCAAUAAACUAACCCACGAUCAAAAUAAAAACCACAGUCAUGUUAUGAAAACCAGAACUGGUGGGUAAAUACUGUGAAUUUAUGACACCACUGAAAAAAAAAAUCCACUUUGGUAAAUGUUAACACUAUUAGAACUAAAGAAGUUUUUAAUUACUAAACUAUUCCAAACUCUUCUUAGCAGACUUUACAUGCAAAAGCUACUAAAAAAAAAAGAAAGAAAGCAGAAGUAGAAAUUCACCCCUUGCUUUUCUGCAGGCACUAUUUAUAUCUGUGUUGGUGUUUGUUUCAGAGAAGAGAAUAAAACUGAAGCCCACAUGACCCUAUCUUACUCUCCCUGAACAGCAAUAACACUUCUCUUUUUUUUAAGGAAUUGUAUGUAUAUUAGCUCUUGUUGCUUCAUGAGGAGGUAGGCACUCUCCUCGUUUUACAGUUUGGAAAACAAUGGCAGAACUCAAGGUUAUCCCAGUCCAGAGAAACUGUUAAGAGUCAGAUUACACUGCUGGAGUGACCCAUGUUCAGGCCACUCCAACACGUCCCCAAAUAAUAUUUUACAAGCAGGAGCCAUCUGUGUGUGAUGAGAUCAGAUGUAAGGAAGUCUGUAGUUGCCAAGAGUAUUUCAGUGAGCAGAGUUAUACGACUACAAAGAAAUCCUACAGCAUCAACAAAGGAAGCUAAAAGAAAUAUUCCCACUGAGCUCUUUUGGACUAUUUUAAUCUGUCUGUUUGUUCUUGUAGUAUUUUAAGGGAUCGUUCUUCCUUUUGCACACCUAACUGUUGCUGACGGUAUUGCAACCUUCAUGUUUGUUAUUAGUAGUCUCCAAAAUGGACUAUCCCAUGUUUUCUGAAAACAAGAGCGAAGUAUGAUUUCUGCUGUGCCUCCCUGUGCACCUGUUAGGAUUAACCAGCCUUUCUGACCAGGCUGCAUCAUAACGCACCUUUCCUCCCAUAACAAACAUGCACAAAAGUACUCCCCAAAAUACCCCUGCUAGAAUUCUCUAUCCACUUCUGACCAUGGGGUUCUGGCCGUGUGUGGACCUUAAAGGUAUGAUGGAAUGGGCUCAUUGCCUAUGCCUUCCUGCUUUUAUUUGUUUUAUGAAGUACUUCACAAAAGCAAAUAAAUAACAAAGGAUAGGAUAUUCAGAAGCUCUCAGCAUCAGUCUAGCGCUUCUCCCUUUGAAGACAACGGGGACUUGACUUGACUGGAGAUGGAAUUAAGCCAACACUGAGAAUUUUCAACAAUUCCAGUCAUAGCCUCUCCCCAGAGAACUUAGGAUCUAACAAAAAGCAUUAAUUGAUUAAUGCUCAAGUUGCCCAAUGGAUAUUAAUCUUUAGCUCUCAAGAACAACUCUGAUUUUGGAACAAAAAGUCUCCUGAGUUUUCGUUUUGAUUACUAUGAGUUAAGUUUCCUCCCGGUUUGUUUUAUUAGAAAAGAGUAUUUAUUUGACUGCGGUACGCUACCUAAAAUUGUUAUAAUUUCUUUCCUUAUUUCCAUAAACAUAACUGUGUUUAUUUUGGAAGGAUGGUUACUUAAAACGAAAUACAAAGUCAUUUAAAAAUAUAUUGGUUAUCUCCCAUAUUUAAUUUUCCCUUGUAGUCUCUCUCUAUAAUUUUUCUAUAGCUCCAAUUUUAAAAAGUAGGGAAGAGGAGGGGCGGGACGUUUGAAUCUAUUUUCAAGAUGGCAUAUCGGACCACACGCACUUACAGGGUAGAGCACAUUUGUUAUUUUGGGCAGUACUGUGGAAUUUAUGAGAAGCUUUCUUUUUUUAUACAAAGUUAGUUCAGAGUAGAUUAAAGUUUAUUUCAAACUCAGCAUAUUUGACCUCAAGCAUCAUAAGAGUCAUGUAGAAUUGGCUCAUGCUAUUAAAUUCCUACAGCGAACUCCAUAAUAAUGAUUAAUUUCUUUCAUAAACUCUUUUCAUAAUUAAUACAGGUUUCAUUGUGGGCACUGCUAUCCUCAUAUUGAUUAUCUCUACAAUUUAGAUUGGCCUCGUGAAACGAUGUCUUUGUUUACUCUGAUGACCAGACAUUUAUUUUAUUUGAAUAACUCUCAUCAUUUGCAAGUUGAACUGGGGAUAUCGCCGUCAUAGAUAUUACAAAUAUUUCAGAGCUGUUUCAUGCAAGAGAAGGGAUAAUUUUUUGGCACCUGAGAUUAAUAAUACUUUGGUGUUCUCUGAUGCCUCUCAUCUGAGAAUAUGGUGCCGGGAGAAGUUGCAGCAACCAACAGAAGGCAGUCUGCAAAAGACCACUGAGAGAAGUGGGAAUUCCCAUUUUUGAGAUGAAUUCAGCAACCCUGCUGCUGCUAGACCUACAGGCAGGGAGGGGAGAUGUGGAUGGAACACGCAGCACGUAUGGCAGAAUUAGUGCAUGUGGUACAACAUCCCCAUGCCUGAGGACAGGGAGUGCAGCUAAGGACACGGUGGAGUUUACAAGAGUACUUCACAUGUUGAGAUGCUUUAUAGUCCCCCCUGUGACUAGCCUAGCAAAAACCAUAUGUGAAAUAUAAAUAUACUGGGACUUAAAAAUUGAGUUGUAUUCCAGCCUUUUAAGUUAAUUUUAUAACAUGCUGCAUCCGGGGGCUUAAUGUGUUCUGUAAUGUGGUGCUAGCUGAGUAGCACCACAUAAAUGUGGUAUGUACUGGAGGCACUAGACGGUCUGAUGGAAGAGGAUAUGGAAAAGAGAAAGGUAGAUGGUAGAAAUAACAUAUUUUAGUGAAAGAAGGAAUCCAUUUUAAACCAACUGGCUGUUUGCUUCCUUCAGCCCAAUGCAACAAUGAACUCCUGUUGUCAUGCUGAGUCAGUUGGCAGUGACUCAUUUUAUCAGUCUCAAAAUUGUCCAGCAUUUCAUCAGAACUGGAUUACACAAUGGGUUUUUCCUUUUCCCCCUCUUUUUUUUUUCCCCCCAAUACACUUGUAAUAUUAAUAGGCACACAAAUCAUCUGAUGUUAACAUGUUUCCUCAUUAACUUUUACUUUUUUAAUUAUAGGAUUGGUAAUCAUACAACUUCCCAAAGAGGGAAAUACAGAAAUCCCAAAUCUGACUUGAAAUUGUAAAGUACGAACUUUCUUAGUUAUUCACUUCUCUCUGUUAAAAAUAAAUUAAAGUCCUUUGUUACUUUCCACAGGAUACUGGCAUAGCUAACAUAUGCUCACAAUUGUUCAGCUGAGGUAUGUGUCCUCUAUUGGGUGUGGAGAGAAAAUUUGUAUGUGGAAACAGCAGCCAACGUGUCAGGGAUGAUUUUUGUCCACAGCAGGGCUUUUUCAGCCAUUUCUUCAAAAGCCUCUUGGAAAAAACACUCAAAUGUGGUAUUUUAUUCACUGAAACACUGCACAUGCGAUAUGAUUUAUUUAUGGGCAUAUUUAUUCCUUAAACACACACAAAAAAGCGUGUUAUGUAAAAUAUAAAGGGAGUGGUUCUGUAAUUAAAGCUUAAGAACAUUCUCCUGGUCUUCAUAGACUGAAAACGUUGGGUCUGUCAGGUUUGUAACUAACUCAGCGGAUCAGUGCACUUCACCAGAUUCUUUGAUUUUAGCACCUAUGCUGUUACACAGUUUCAAUCACAGUGAUAUGAAUAAAUUGAAAAUGUGUAAAAAGUGAUGCUGAGUUGGCUGGACAGCAACGCAUCUGUUCUAAAAUCCAGCAUUUCUAAGUCAACCAUCUUGUCUGCCCUAACAAAACAUCUGUAUUUUCCACCCACAUGAUUAAAUUAAUUGUGUUCAAUCAAAUCCACUUUCUAAUUGUAGAUUUAAGGCAAAAGGGUGGAUCUUCAGUUUUUAAUCUGAGAAAAUCCAAACUGUUUGGAAUAUGCUCCGUUUCUGUCCCAACCUAUACACCCUAUUCUGGGCUUAAUCCCAUCUGUCUGUGUUUGGACUCAGUCCUGAUGGCUGGGAAAUGGAAAGCUUCCAAGUGUCUUUGAAUAAUUUUUUAAUUUUGUUCUUCAGUGGUUCUAGCUCUUUGUUGUUAAUUAGAUCAAACAGUGUCUCCACCGAGGAUGUAACGGUAGUGUCAUCAGCCUGUAAUCUGUCAGGUCCCUCUGAAACCUCCUUCAACUGCUUUUGUAAAUUUAGUACCUCUCUGCAAAGUUCCUCGCUGAGUAAAAUGUGUGCUAUUUUUUUUU
Molecule: long non-coding RNA, 5150 nt
Filed under: Gallus gallus (chicken)
Lineage: Eukaryota; Metazoa; Chordata; Aves; Galliformes; Phasianidae
Description: lncRNA (ENSGALG00010006970.1)
Source: RNAcentral